GUGGCUCUCUGUUGGGCGAAACAGGUGAAAUAGGGGACCGUGAGGUCCCCUCAUAAGGUUGGCCGAUCGACAGCCGGCCGGCACGGAAAUGGUCGACGAUCGGAGGAGAGUGCACCACCAUCAAAAGGAAUCUGAAAUCGUGGCUGGCGGCAACCACCGACAUCCCAAAACUAAAAAAAAUCAAACUUUUAUUUUGACAAAAUCCAGCGACCCCGAUCGCUGGCGAGCAUGCACAUUGGCAUGGAAAGGAAGGG
RNAcentral lists this long non-coding RNA (254 nucleotides) under Elaeis guineensis (African oil palm). Its description in RNAcentral is "long non-coding RNA (EGUI_LNC031145)". The record is from RNAcentral. Lineage: Eukaryota; Viridiplantae; Streptophyta; Magnoliopsida; Arecales; Arecaceae.